AAACCACCUAAAACUUGAUGAAAUAAUAAAUUAGUCAUGUGUUUAUAAUAUACCAUGUUAAAUACCUACAUUUAAUAAUAUCUCUCACAAAAAAAAAGCAUUUAAUGGCUGUUAAACAGCCAGUCUCGAGACAACAACAAAAUCUAGAACUUUUUUCUUUUUAUUUGUUUUAAAACUCAACUACUUGUAUUUAAUUCUCAUUGAAACUUUAACCCUUUUACCUCCCUUCCAUUUUGCCUUCAGCUUCAUCUAAACCCACACACAAAGGCAAGAACCCUAUCUCUCUCCCUCGAUUAUAUGUACAGACAACGUAUACAAACAAUAAUCAACUCCCAUACCCUCACAACCGUUUACAACCUCCUGCGGAGAAACCGAGUUCGCCGGAGCUUACGUCGGGAUCCACCGGAGAAACCGAGUUCGCCGGAGCCAACGGAGAUCACUUCACUCGUUCUCGAUAUACCUCGCCUUGUUUUCUCACUCACAAAACGUUAAACUUGCGCCGGAGAAACCCAUACUCGUCGGAGUUCGUUAACCUACCAUCUCCCUCUCUCGCUCGGUAACAUGCAGCCGGAACCAAGAGGAAACCCAUCGUAGGAACUAGACACGCCGGGGAUACGCCGCCGGAGACCGAGAAGAAGAUCGGAGAAGACGACCGGAAUUCACGACGGACUCUAGCUCGAAUCGUCAUGUGUUCGGAUAAUCGUUCUCAUACUCUUGGAAUUCUCCAUUUUUAAUUGUGCGUUAUUUCAAGGAAUCUCCAAACGCAACCAAUGUUAAUUGUUGAAGUAUGGACAUGAUGAAACGAGAUUUAGG
Long non-coding RNA from Helianthus annuus (common sunflower), 813 nucleotides. RefSeq lists it as uncharacterized. Lineage: Eukaryota; Viridiplantae; Streptophyta; Magnoliopsida; Asterales; Asteraceae. The transcript is spliced from 3 exons. The record is from RefSeq and is a predicted model, not a curated record.